CCUACGGGAGGCAGCAGUGGGGGAUAUUGCACAAUGGGGGGAACCCUGAUGCAGCGACGCCGCGUGGGUGAAGAAGCGCCUCGGCGCGUAAAGCCCUGUCAGCAGGGAAGAAAAUGACGGUACCUGAAGAAGAAGCCCCGGCUAACUACGUGCCAGCAGCCGCGGUAAUACGUAGGGGGCAAGCGUUAUCCGGAUUUACUGGGUGUAAAGGGGGCGCAGACGGCGAUGCAAGCCAGGAGUGAAAGCCCGGGGCCCAACCCCGGGACUGCUCUUGGAACUGCGUGGCUGGAGUGCAGGAGGGGCAGGCGGAAUUCCUGGUGUAGCGGUGGAAUGCGUAGAUAUCAGGAGGAACACCGGUGGCGAAGGCGGCCUGCUGGACUGCAACUGACGUUGAGGCCCGAAAGCGUGGGGAGCAAACAGGAUUAGAUACCCCUGUAGUC
This 440-nucleotide ribosomal RNA is filed under the name uncultured bacterium. RNAcentral's name for it is "partial 16S ribosomal RNA". It matches the Rfam family "Bacterial small subunit ribosomal RNA", at positions 338 to 795 of the family's 1533-position model. The record is from RNAcentral.